RNAcentral lists this long non-coding RNA (230 nucleotides) under Ananas comosus (pineapple). RNAcentral describes it as "long non-coding RNA (ACOM_LNC009367)". The record is from RNAcentral. Lineage: Eukaryota; Viridiplantae; Streptophyta; Magnoliopsida; Poales; Bromeliaceae.
UGGUGAAUUAAACCGUGGGUAAAGAUUUUUUUUUUUUGAGAGAAGGUAGCAUGUUACCGCUUCAUUCAUUUAGAGAGUGAACUCAGCUACAGGAUGAGACUGUUAAGAAUAUGCCUUCUUUUGAACCUGGGUUGAGUCAAAUUAAUUAACCCAUUAAGUUGGUUCAUAAAAUAUAUCAAUUGGUUUUGAAAUUGAUUCUCAUUGGCGAAAGAUACGUGCUUAUCUGUAUA